CCCCCCCCCCACGCCUGUUGGGUACCCGCGUCCUCCUCCCAGCCAGGGCUUUGUCAAAAACCCUAAAAGCCUCCAAGGAUGGAGAGUCCGCCACCUCCCCAGGGAUCCCAUUCCAGCGCUUCACCCCCCGCCCCGUGAAAUCGUGUUUCCGAAUAUCCAGCCUAGACCUCCCCCCUGCAACUUGAGACCAUUGCUCCUUGUUCUGUCAUCUGCCACCCCUGGGAACAGCCCAGCUCCAUCCUCUCUGGAGCCCCCCUUCGGGUAGCUGAGGGCUGCUAUCAAAUCCCCCCCGCACUCUUCUCUUCUGCAGACUAGACAAGCCCAGUUCCCUCAGCCUCUCCUUGUAAUUCCUGUGCCCCAGCCGCCUCAUGAUUUUCAUUGCCCUCCGCUGGACUCUCUCCAUAUAUCAGGCUGGAGUCCUGUUAUAAAGAAACAUGCUUUUGCAAGCACAUAAUACUAUGGUGAUCAGUAAUGAUUAGAAAGUAAUGGUUUAAUGAGGGAGAAGAAGUAACAGGUAAAAGAAUGAGAUGAAAUGUAAUUAAGGGGAGCUUGUAAUAGCUAAUCAGACUAGCAUAGCAUGGCAGGGUAGGGGUGAAAAGCACAUUGCUUGGCUCAUUUAAAACUUGCCUCCAUACAGCACUAGAAAAUGUAGGAGUUGAAUAGAGAUCAGGUGAGAUUUUUCUUAUCCUCAGAUGGUUACCAGUAUGUUGCUAUGUUGCCAAAUAAGAGUGGAGAGUAUGUAAACAAAUUUCCACAACCUUUCCUGACAGAAGUGAAGAAGCCCAUUAGCUGGUAUUAUACAGAACAGAGAGCAUUUGUGCAUUAGUCCCAGAGUAGAUGAACUAGAUCUUCUCCUGGCAAUAGAGGAAGGUAAAAUGUCUUUCCUAGAUUUAUCAAGAGAUUUUGGUAACUUGAGUCCACAACAUUUUGUUGAUUUGCCUUCAGAAUUUCACAAGUGGGCGGCUUUAGGUAGAUUCUUUCCUUCCUUUUUGGAGAUCUUAGAGAAGGUGAUGGGUACUUGCCACUAUGCUUUACCUAGGAAACUCCUGGUGGUCCGUAAAGCUGCAGCUUUUCAUUGCUCCUGUUCAAUAUGCAUGUAUGACCAUUAGGAACAUAGUAAGAGUAUCUACAGCACCUUCUAUGUUGGUUGAGUAUCAAGCUCAGUGAAAAUCUUGAAUAUGGAAAUUUCUAUGCUUUCCCACUGCCUAAGAGAGGUAGAGAAGUCCAUAUAACAAACUAGGUACAGUUGAAGUGAUGCUAAUAUGAGAAGAAGCCUAUGCUGACAAACUGGAGAGUUCAGAAAAGAACUACAAUGAUUAGAAGUCUGAAAAACCUGCCUUCAGUGAAACUGUUAAAGUAAAUAGAUUUUCUUUAAAGACAAGAUUAAGAAGUGACUUGACCGUGGUCUACAAGUACCUGCUCAGGGAGAAGAAUUUGAUAGGGGUUUUUAAAGCUAGGAGACAAAAGAAUAAGGGCCAAUAGCUUGAAGCUGAAGCUAGACAAAUUUAGGCUACAAAUGAGAGGCAGAUUUGUAAUGGUUACGGUAAUUAGCCAUUGGAACAACUUACAAAGGGAUGUGGUAUAUUAUCCAUCACUUGAAGUCUUUAAAUUAUGAUUGCUUGUCUUUCUAAAAGAUGUGUUUCUAGCUCAACUAGAAGUUAUGGGUUUGAUGCAGGAGUUGGUGAAAUUCUCUCACCUGUGUUAUGCAGGUCAAGAUAGUCAUAAUGGUCCCUUCCAGGCUUAAAAAAUCUGUGAAGCAUUUAAAUAAAUUGGAUGGGGUGAAAGUGCAAUUUUAUCAAGUGUGGAUGUGGACCUAUGUUGAUGCAAUUCAGAGCUCAUGAGGACAGAAGGGUGUUUUGAAGCUCUGAAGGAAACCCCACCACAAGCCAGGGUUUGUACCAUGAACCUACAGCACAGGCUGCUACCACUUGAGCUCCAGGGCUAACUUAACUGGCAGCAGGAGGCUGUCAUCCCAGAGGGAGGAUGGACUUCUGGGUCCAUGAAGAAUGGAGUUAAAUCCAGCCUAGCCUUCUGUUCAUCUCCAGGACUUGGCAUUCCUGCUUCAUAUGGUGAAUCCGGGGGAUGGUGCAACUGGAGCCAGGUUACUCUGCAAUUCUACACUGCUUGGAAGAGGGUAAAAAACAAAAAAUCUGUCAAGUAUCUUGCUGAAUUAGACUACUGGGUUUAAAAUUUGUAACAAUGGCUGAACAGAGACAGACGUUAUUAAAUCCAAACCAGGAGGUAAAUCAUUUGAAACUUGCUGGGAACAUUCAAAAGAAUUUAACGAUAUCCAGUUUGGACAAAGUUGUUGUAUUUCGUGCU
This is a non-coding RNA of Caretta caretta (loggerhead turtle), 2322 nucleotides long. NCBI's taxonomy places the organism in Eukaryota, Metazoa, Chordata, Testudines, Cheloniidae. The record is from RefSeq and is a predicted model, not a curated record.